GCUCUCCGGUGAGCGCAGAGUGAACUAUUUUUUCGCCUUUUACUAAAGAAUACCGUGUGCUCGCAACCUAAAGCGGUAUACGUCUAUUUUUUAUGGGCCUUCCUUUAAGAACGGCC
Small nuclear RNA from Hibiscus syriacus, 116 nucleotides. RefSeq annotates it as U5 spliceosomal RNA. NCBI's taxonomy places the organism in Eukaryota, Viridiplantae, Streptophyta, Magnoliopsida, Malvales, Malvaceae. The record is from RefSeq and is a predicted model, not a curated record. The transcript has a single exon.